This 498-nucleotide ribosomal RNA is filed under the name uncultured bacterium. Its description in RNAcentral is "partial 16S ribosomal RNA". It matches the Rfam family "Bacterial small subunit ribosomal RNA", at positions 30 to 523 of the family's 1533-position model. The record is from RNAcentral.
AUUGAACGCUGGCGGCAUGCCUUACACAUGCAAGUCGAACGGUAACAGGUCUACGGAUGCUGACGAGUGGCGAACGGGUGAGUAAUACAUCGGAACGUGCCUAGUAGUGGGGGAUAACUACUCGAAAGAGUGGCUAAUACCGCAUGAGAUCUACGGAUGAAAGCAGGGGAUCGCAAGACCUUGUGCUACUAGAGCGGCCGAUGGCAGAUUAGGUAGUUGGUGGGAUAAAAGCUUACCAAGCCGACGAUCUGUAGCUGGUCUGAGAGGACGAUCAGCCACACUGGGACUGAGACACGGCCCAGACUCCUACGGGAGGCAGCAGUGGGGAAUAUUGGACAAUGGGCGCAAGCCUGAUCCAGCAAUGCCGCGUGCAGGAUGAAGGCCUUCGGGUUGUAAACUGCUUUUGUACGGAACGAAAAGCCCCGGGUUAAUACCCUGGGGUCAUGACGGUACCGUAAGAAUAAGCACCGGCUAACUACGUGCCAGCAGCCGCGGUAA